This is a long non-coding RNA of Rosa rugosa (rugosa rose), 558 nucleotides long. RefSeq lists it as uncharacterized. NCBI's taxonomy places the organism in Eukaryota, Viridiplantae, Streptophyta, Magnoliopsida, Rosales, Rosaceae. The record is from RefSeq and is a predicted model, not a curated record. The transcript is spliced from 2 exons.
UAAACCAAAGUUCCAAAGAAAACAGAGCCUAGCCUUUGCUUCUAUACUUAGAGAAACAAGAACAUGGCCAAGUCGAGCAACAAAAUGGCAAUAGCUCUUAACUUGAUUCUGGUGGUUUCUCUGAUGAUUUCUAUAUCCGAGUGUAAACAACUUGGAGUUGGAGUAGAUGGUUUCGACUCUGCAAUACCGUCUAUGGUGCAGAGUUCGGUGAUUCCUGCGAGAGUGUUGUUGAAAAGUUCGGAUUAAGCAGUCUAGAGUUCUUCCUUUCCAUCAACCCUAAUAGCAACUGUGACCCCUUUGAGGGUCAAUGGCUUUGUGUUGAUGGCAACCCAAACGAAUGAUUUGCAACGUAUUCAUCAUUUUCAAAUGAUCGAGCAAAAGUGUUAAACCUAAUUGUAUUAAUAAAGAUGAUCGAGCUAGCUCUGAGGUGGCCUCCUCAACGUAUUAUGAGUGUUUCUUAACGUUGUUAAAUCUUAGAUGGUGUAGUUCAUCGCCUUGUCAAUGGAUAAUAUUCUAUACAAAGCUGCAGCAACUGUUACCUUUGAUUGUUCCGUACUG